RNAcentral lists this ribosomal RNA (1081 nucleotides) under uncultured Rhizaria. RNAcentral's name for it is "SSU rRNA". It matches the Rfam family "Eukaryotic small subunit ribosomal RNA", at positions 577 to 1674 of the family's 1831-position model. The record is from RNAcentral.
CGGUAAUUCCAGCUCCAAUAGCGUAUACUAAAGUUGUUGCAGUUAAAAAGCUCGUAGUUGGAUUUCUGCGGGGACGGAGCGGCCGGACGCAACUUGCGUCUCGAGCUAGCGCUUUCCCCGCAUCCUGCCGCGAACCGUGCUACCAUUAGCUUGGUGGCGCUGGGGAUCGGCUCGAUUACUUUGAGAAAAAUAGAGUGUUCAAAGCAGGCCACACGCCUUGAAUAGGUUAGCAUGGAAUAAUGACUAAGGACUUCGGUUCUAUUUUGUUGGUGUUCGGGACUGAAGUAAUGAUUGAUAGGGACAGUUGGGGCGGUCUGUAUUCCAAAGCGAGAGGUGAAAUUCUUAGACCUUCGGAAGACAAACAGCUGCGAAAGCGUUCCGCAAGGAUGUUCCCUUUGAUCAAGAACGAAAGUUGGGGGAUCGAAGACGAUCAGAUACCGUCGUAGUCUCAACUAUAAACUAUACCAGCUAGGGAUCGGUCAACGUUUAAUCAUUCGACUUGAUCGGCACCUUAUGAGAAAUCAAAGCAUCUGGGUUCCGGGGGGAGUAUGGUCGCAAGGCUGAAACUUAAAGGAAUUGACGGAAGGGCACCACCAGCCGUGGAGCCUGUGGCUUAAUUUGACUCAACACGGGAAAACUUACCAGGUCCAGACAUAGUAAGGAUUGACAGAUUGAUAGCUCUUUCUUGAUUCUGUGGGUGGUGGUGCAUGGCCGUUCUUAGUUGGUGGAGUGAUUUGUCUGGUUAAUUCCGUUAACGAACGAGACCCCAGCCUGCUAAAUAGCGCGGUUGAGCUUUGCUCGAUGCGAGCUUCUUAGAGGGACUAUGAUGCGCGAUAGCACAUGGAAGUUUGGGGCAAUAACAGGUCUGUGAUGCCCUUAGAUGUUCUGGGCCGCACACGGGCUACACUGGCGCCUGCAACGAGCAUAUCAGCUGGCCCGAGAGGGUCUUGGCUAAUCUUUUGAACCGGCGCCGUGCUUGGGAUUGACCAUUGCAAUUGUUGGUCAUGCAACGAGGAAUGCCUUGUAAACGCGAGUCAUCAGCUCGCAUUGAAUACGUCCCUGCUCCUUGUACACACCGCCC